UGAGGAAUAUUGCACGAAUGGGGGAAACCCUGAUGCAGCAACGCCGCGUGGAGGAUGACGCAUUUCGGUGUGUAAACUCCUUUUAUGAGUCAAGAAAAUGACGGUAGCUCAUGAAUAAGCACCGGCUAACUCCGUGCCAGCAGCCGCGGUAAUACGGAGGGUGCAAGCGUUACUCGGAAUCACUGGGCGUAAAGGACACGUAGGCGGGUUGGAAAGUCAGAUGUGAAAUCCUACAGCUUAACUGUAGAACUGCAUUUGAAACUUCCAACCUAGAGUAUGGGAGGGGGAGAUGGAAUUAGUGGUGUAGGGGUAAAAUCCGUAGAUAUCACUAGGAAUACCUAAAGCGAAGGCGAUCUCCUGGAACAUUACUGACGCUAAGGUGUGAAAGCGUGGGGAGCAAACG
RNAcentral lists this ribosomal RNA (403 nucleotides) under uncultured bacterium. RNAcentral's name for it is "bacterial SSU rRNA". It matches the Rfam family "Bacterial small subunit ribosomal RNA", at positions 355 to 774 of the family's 1533-position model. The record is from RNAcentral.